CGCUGGCGGCACGCCUUAUACAUGCAAGUCGAACGAAGUAGCAAUACUUAGUGGCAGACGGGUGAGUAACAUGUAGGUAUCUUCCCUUUGGUGAGGAAUAACACGAGGAAACUUGUGCUAAUACCUCAUAAGUCUUUACGGAGAAAGCUUUAUGCGCCGAAGGAUGAGCCUGCACUUGAUUAGUUUGUUGGUGGGGUAAUGGCCUACCAAGACUUUGAUCUAUAGCUGAUCUGAGAGGAUGAUCAGCCACAUUGGGACUGAGACACGGCCCAAACUCCUACGGGAGGCAGCAGUAGGGAAUAUUGCACAAUGGAGGAAACUCUGAUGCAGCGAUGCCGCGUGAGUGAAGAAGGCCUUUGGGUUGUAAAGCUCUUUCGUCGGGGAAGAAAAUGACUGUACCCGAAUAAGAAGGUCCGGCUAACUUCGUGCCAGCAGCCGCGGUAAUACGAAGGGACCUAGCGUAGUUCGGAAUUACUGGGCUUAAAGAGUUCGUAGGUGGUUAAAAAAGUUGGUGGUGAAAUCCCAGAGCUUAACUCUGGAACUGCCAUCAAAACUUUUUAGCUAGAGUAUGAUAGAGGAAAGCAGAAUUUCUAGUGUAGAGGUGAAAUUCGUAGAUAUUAGAAAGAAUACCAAUUGCGAAGGCAGCUUUCUGGAUCAUUACUGACGCUGAGGAACGAAAGCAUGGGUAGCGAAGAGGAUUAGAUACCCUCGUAGUCCAUGCCGUAAACGAUGUGUGUUAGACGUUGGAAAUUUAUUUUCAGUGUCGCAGCGAAAGCGUUAAACACACCGCCUGGGGAGUACGACC
RNAcentral lists this ribosomal RNA (805 nucleotides) under uncultured Pelagibacteraceae bacterium. RNAcentral's name for it is "bacterial SSU rRNA". It matches the Rfam family "Bacterial small subunit ribosomal RNA", at positions 34 to 887 of the family's 1533-position model. The record is from RNAcentral. Lineage: Bacteria; Pseudomonadati; Pseudomonadota; Alphaproteobacteria; Candidatus Pelagibacterales; Candidatus Pelagibacteraceae.